This 253-nucleotide ribosomal RNA is filed under the name uncultured bacterium. RNAcentral describes it as "partial 16S ribosomal RNA". It matches the Rfam family "Bacterial small subunit ribosomal RNA", at positions 524 to 776 of the family's 1533-position model. The record is from RNAcentral.
UACGUAGGUGGCAAGCGUUGUCCGGAAUUAUUGGGCGUAAAGCGCGCGCAGGCGGUCCUUUAAGUCUGGUGUGAAAGCCCACGGCUCAACCGUGGAGGGUCAUUGGAAACUGGGGGACUUGAGUACAGAAGAGAAGAGUGGAAUUCCACGUGUAGCGGUGAAAUGCGUAGAGAUGUGGAGGAACACCAGUGGCGAAGGCGACUCUUUGGUCUGUAACUGACGCUGAGGCGCGAAAUCGUGGGGAGCAAACAGG